RNAcentral lists this long non-coding RNA (254 nucleotides) under Musa acuminata (dwarf banana). RNAcentral describes it as "long non-coding RNA (MACU_LNC010808)". Lineage: Eukaryota; Viridiplantae; Streptophyta; Magnoliopsida; Zingiberales; Musaceae. The record is from RNAcentral.
GAGCAUUUGCUGGAGAUUGGCCUGGAAGAAUCGUUAUACAAUGAUCAUGCCGACGGGUAAGAGGUAGGUUGCGUAGUUCGUCAAAUAUAUCUGAAAAUUCAGCAAGCAAAGGAAGUAUAUUUGGAUCUUCCAAUUUUGUUGGCUCUCCCUUAGUUUGCUGCUCAAGUUGUACCAAAAAUCCACUGCAUGCUUUAUGCAAAACCUUCUUCAUUUGUUGUGUGCAAAUCAUCGUUACGUCGCCCCCACGUUUCCCG